This 1312-nucleotide ribosomal RNA is filed under the name human gut metagenome. RNAcentral's name for it is "bacterial LSU rRNA". It matches the Rfam family "Bacterial large subunit ribosomal RNA", at positions 979 to 2317 of the family's 2925-position model. The record is from RNAcentral.
GGGAGUCAGACUGUACGAGAUAAGUUGGACAGUCAAAAGGGAAAGAGCCCAGACCGCCGGCUAAGGUCCCAAAGUGGGUGUUAAGUGGAAAAGGAUGUGGGAUCUCUAAGACAACCAGGAUGUUGGCUCAGAAGCAGCCAUUCAUUAAAAGAGUGCGUAACAGCUCACUGGUCGAGAGGUCCUGCGCCGAAAAUGUCCGGGGCUGAAACACCACACCGAAGCCGCGGAACCCGUAAGGGUUGGUAGAGGAGCAUUCUUAGGGGAGCGAAGCAUUACCGGAAGGGGAUGUGGACCGCUAAGAAGAGAGAAUGCCGGAAUGAGUAGCGAGAGCAAGGUGGGAAUCCUUGCGGCCGAAUAUCCAAGGUUUCCAGAGUAAAGCUGAUCUGCUCUGGGUAAGUCGGGGCCUAAGGAGAGGCAGAGAUGCGUAUCCGAUGGACAGCAGGUUUAAGAUUCCUGCACCCCUUGUUAUCAGAACUGCGGGGACACGGGAAGGGAAGCAGAGCCGGGAAUGGAAAGCCCGGUGCAAGCGAAGUAGUCGCAGGGUUGGAAAAUCCGCCCUGCAUGAGACGAAGGCGUGAUGCGGAGCGAAAUGAAGUAGUGAAGCUGCGGCCCCUUCCUGUCGAGAAAAGCCGCUAUCGUGUAGCAAGGGCCCGUACCGUAAACCGACACAGGUGGAUGAGGAGAGGAUCCUAAGGCCGGCGGGAGAAGUGUUGUUAAGGAACUCGGCAAAAUGACUCCGUAACUUCGGGAGAAGGAGUGCUGCGCAAGCAGCCGCAGAGAAAUGGCCCAAGCAACUGUUUAGCAAAAACACAGGUCUAUGCGAAACCGAAAGGUGAGGUAUAUGGGCUGACGCCUGCCCGGUGCUGGAAGGUUAAGGGGAGAGGUUAGCGCAAGCGAAGCUUUGAACUUAAGCCCCAGUAAACGGCGGCCGUAACUAUAACGGUCCUAAGGUAGCGAAAUUCCUUGUCGGGUAAGUUCCGACCCGCACGAAAGGCGUAAUGAUUUGGGCACUGUCUCAACAACACACCCGGUGAAAUUGAAAUACCAGUGAAGAUGCUGGUUACCCGCGCCAGGACGGAAAGACCCCAUGGAGCUUUACUCCAGCCUGAUACUGGGAUUCGGUAUUGCAUGUACAGGAUAGGUGGGAGGCUAAGAACUCAUGGCGCCAGCCGUGAGGGAGCCGGUGUUGGGAUACCACCCCUGCAGUACUGGGUUUCUAACCUGCGCCCGUGACCCGGGCGGGGGACAAUGUCAGGCGGGGAGUUUGACUGGGGCGGUCGCCUCCGAAAGGGUAUCGGAGGCGCUCAAAGGU